GCCCCAAGUACCUUACCAACUGCCUAGCAACACCCUAGCAACCACCCAGGUUACCAUAGCAACUGCCUAGCAACCACCCAUAACACCCUAGCAACCGCCUAGCAACACCUUAGCAACUGCCCCAAGUACCUUACCAACUGCCUAGCAACACCCUAGCAACCACCCAGGUUACCAUAGCAACCGCCUAGCAACCACCCAGAACACCUUAGCAACCGCCUAGCAACACCUUAGCAACCACCCCAAGUACCUUAGCAACUGCCUAGCAACAGCCUAGCAACCACCCAGGUUACCAUAGCAACCGCCUAGCAACCACCCAGAACACCCUAGCAACCGCCUAGCAACACCUUAGCAACC
Ctenopharyngodon idella (grass carp) is the source of this 354-nucleotide long non-coding RNA. RefSeq lists it as uncharacterized. Lineage: Eukaryota; Metazoa; Chordata; Actinopteri; Cypriniformes; Xenocyprididae. The transcript has 3 exons. The record is from RefSeq and is a predicted model, not a curated record.